This is a long non-coding RNA of Tachysurus vachellii, 491 nucleotides long. RefSeq lists it as uncharacterized. The transcript is spliced from 3 exons. NCBI's taxonomy places the organism in Eukaryota, Metazoa, Chordata, Actinopteri, Siluriformes, Bagridae. The record is from RefSeq and is a predicted model, not a curated record.
GUGGAGAAUGAGACACUGAAUCAGGAGAAAGAAAUUGGAUUGGACAACACAGACCGCUGAUGCGCUGGGAUUUAAACAUCGUGAAAAGGAUUAAAGAGUCAGCCGUCAGUGCGAAUCAGCCCUGUGGACGACAAGCAGCAGUGUUUGGAUCCAUGAACCAGCAAAUCCAAAAGACAACCCGUGGCUUCAUAUCCAGGCCACACAACGACUGGCUCCCACCAAAGAUCACAGCUUCAAUCAACAGAAGCUGAACCAGAGUGAAUUUAAGCUUGUAAGCAUCCUGUACAAAAGUAAUUUGCUCUAACUCUGGCUGUAUGGAGCCAGGGCUCAGCAGCUCUGCCAUGGUGUUAUUGUUGUCCACCUGACAUAGAUGAGUGGGUCUGUGUCUAUCAGGAAAGGGUUUGCUGCAGCCAAAGAAGAUAUGUAUGCAAACAUUUCCCUACUUAAUCUUAGAGACACUGACUCAUUUGAAACACACAGCCAUUCAGGCU